UUUAUGGAGAGUUUGAUCCUGGCUCAGGAUGAACGCUGGCGGCGUGCCUAAUACAUGCAAGUCGAGCGAACGGACGAGAAGCUUGCUUCUCUGAUGUUAGCGGCGGACGGGUGAGUAACACGUGGAUAACCUACCUAUAAGACUGGGAUAACUUCGGGAAACCGGAGCUAAUACCGGAUGAUAUUUUGAACCGCAUGGUUCAAAAGUGA
This 209-nucleotide ribosomal RNA is filed under the name Staphylococcus aureus. RNAcentral's name for it is "partial 16S ribosomal RNA". It matches the Rfam family "Bacterial small subunit ribosomal RNA", at positions 1 to 204 of the family's 1533-position model. The record is from RNAcentral. Lineage: Bacteria; Bacillati; Bacillota; Bacilli; Caryophanales; Staphylococcaceae.